This 498-nucleotide ribosomal RNA is filed under the name uncultured bacterium. RNAcentral describes it as "partial 16S ribosomal RNA". It matches the Rfam family "Bacterial small subunit ribosomal RNA", at positions 30 to 523 of the family's 1533-position model. The record is from RNAcentral.
AUUGAACGCUGGCGGCAUGCUUUACACAUGCAAGUCGAACGGUAACAGGCCGCAAGGUGCUGACGAGUGGCGAACGGGUGAGUAAUGCAUCGGAACGUGCCCAGUCGUGGGGGAUAACGCAGCGAAAGCUGCGCUAAUACCGCAUACGAUCUAUGGAUGAAAGCGGGGGACCGUAAGGCCUCGCGCGAUUGGAGCGGCCGCUGUCAGAUUAGGUAGUUGGUGGGGUAAAGGCUCACCAAGCCAACGAUCUGUAGAUGGUCUGAGAGGACGACCAGCCACACUGGGACGGAGACACGGCCCAGACUCCUACGGGAGGCAGCAGUGGGGAAUUUUGGACAAUGGGCGCAAGCCUGAUUCAGCAAUGCCGCGUGCAGGAAGAAGGCCUUCGGGUUGUAAACUGCUUUUGUACGGAACGAAACGGUCCUGGUUAAUACCUGGGGCUAAUGACGGUACCGUAAGAAUAAGCACCGGCUAACUACGUGCCAGCAGCCGCCGUAA